Molecule: long non-coding RNA, 1015 nt
Filed under: Rattus norvegicus (Norway rat)
Lineage: Eukaryota; Metazoa; Chordata; Mammalia; Rodentia; Muridae
Description: long non-coding RNA NONRATT021035
Source: RNAcentral
CUGCUGUAUCUUGGACGGGACUAUCCAAAAGGAGCAGACUAUUUUAAAAGGCGUUUGAAGAAUGUUUUCCUUAAAAACAAGGAUGUGAAGGACCCAGAGAAGAUCAAAGAACUCAUUGCACGAGGAGAAUUUGUAAUGAAGGAGCUAGAGGCCUUAUAUUUCCUUAGGAAAUACAGAGCUAUGAAGCAACGUUACUAUUCAGAUACCAAAAACUGACCAAUCACUGCCACCAGCCUAGCUGACAAUCAGUGCCAGCUGUUUGCCUGUACCAAUUAUUAUACAAUAAUUCAGUUUAAAAGGGCAAGAUACAUGUUUUUUUUUUAAAGUUUCCCUAUUGUACUAAUAUAGGUUUCAACCCUAUUGAUACUGAGAGCUUUGCCCAUAAUCCUUUAUUAUUGAAAUAGUAACAUUAGCACCUUUCAGGAGAAUACAAUUUUGAAAGAAAAUACAUCUAAUUUUUUAACAUAUUAUAGCCAAGUAUUCUAUUUCUUCAUUUACUGAUGAGAUUGUCAUUAGCAAAUGGUGUCUGAUAGGCCUGCCUGCCCUUUAGUUUGUGGAGUGUCUUUGUUUUUGGUUUUGUUACUCCAUCUAGUAUACUGAAGUGCAUUUUCAAGGCUCUCUACAGACACCUCAAAAUGAUUUGAAUGCAGUUACCAAAAUGAGACAUGUGAAGGUGGCUUCGAUCUUGAGCUGCCAAGCAGAAAACUAGCAUUAUGUAGUUAUUAUUCCCAUUACCCUUUGUGCUGCUGGCCUGCCUUAGGUUCCUAAUCUGCUUCAACUGGCCUCCAUGUAGAGUGGUAAUGCUCCUCUAUCUGUGCCAUUAAAGCUGGUGCAUUCUGUGCAGUGGUUAAGAGCACUGACUGCUCUUCCAGAGGUUCCAAGUUCAAUUCUCAGCAACCACAUGGUGACUCACAACCGUCUGUAAUGGGAUCUGAUGUCCUCUUCUUCUGGUGUGUCUGAAGACAGUUACAGUGUACUCAUAUAAAUAAAAUACAAAAAUAAACCUUAAAAUCUU